Molecule: transfer RNA, 68 nt
Filed under: Brachygalba albogularis
Lineage: Eukaryota; Metazoa; Chordata; Aves; Piciformes; Galbulidae
Description: tRNA-Ala
Source: RNAcentral
UGUCUAGGAAGGCCCUAGCUUAAUUAGAGUGCUUGAGUUGCAUCCAGGUGGUGCAGGAUAAUGUCCUG